RNAcentral lists this transfer RNA (72 nucleotides) under Bos taurus (domestic cattle). It matches the Rfam family "tRNA". Rfam says of the family: Transfer RNA (tRNA) molecules are approximately 80 nucleotides in length. Their secondary structure includes four short double-helical elements and three loops (D, anti-codon, and T loops). RNAcentral also lists the same sequence under 3 other names. The record is from Rfam by way of RNAcentral. Lineage: Eukaryota; Metazoa; Chordata; Mammalia; Artiodactyla; Bovidae.
UCCCUGGUGGCUCAGAGGGUAAAGAAUCUGCCUGCAAUGCAGGAGACCCAGGUUCAAUCCCUGGAGAAGGAA